Long non-coding RNA from Oreochromis aureus, 1291 nucleotides. Lineage: Eukaryota; Metazoa; Chordata; Actinopteri; Cichliformes; Cichlidae. The record is from Ensembl.
CUUGUGGCAGCUUCACACACAUUCCCGGACUUCAACAAGACCAACAACUUCCUGCGUUAAAAAUGACGCUACUUUGUAAUCUUAUGCUGGGACUUUGUUGCCUGGCCAUCAUCAUGACAAGAAAACAUUUAUGCCAAGGUGCAGGGCAACGGAGCUGCUGUACAUCAUACACCAAACCCCGUGCUGUGAACAUUAUUCUGAGACAUAGACAAAAGGUGGAGCUUUGCUGGAAGCAGGGUAUUACCGAACAGUGUAACAUUGAAGCCGUUGUACUUAAGUGGAGACACCGGUACAUAUGUGUGGAUCCUAAACCUCGCAAGAUGCACAAACUUGUUGAACGCUUGUGCAACAGGAAAGUUCAACAAGGAAUGAGAAAGAAUGGCUAACUUCCCAGGAAGAAGAACAGUAUCUGAACAUCUGCACAAAAAUGAAUUACCGUAGUUUUCGGGUCAUAAGUCGCUACUUUUUUCCGACACUGUGAACACUGCGGCUUAUACGGACGUGCGGCUAAUGCAUUUUUUUUUUCAUGCGGCCAAAAACAUUUUGCCUGGUAACAGUAGACCAAUAAAAUUGAUAAGUAGUAUAUAUACGGUAUAUAUUUUUACCGGUUGUUAAGAGACGUUGUAAUGUUGUUUGUGCACUGUUCCGUAAAAAAACCACAAGCAACGUAAUUUGUGUGUUACCGAUACGUAUGUAUACUUAAAGGUAGCCGUGUUACAGGCGCUGUUCGAGGGAAAAAAAAGCAUUUGCAAUAUGUAUUUUUGUAUGUUACCAUAACGUUUAUGUUACCAUGUUUAUGUUACCUUACGGAUUAAAUUAAACGUUGAAAAUCCUCACAUGUAAUAUUUCUGUGUAAAUAUCUCAAAUUACAAGUAAAAUCCGGUGCGGCCUGUACAAGCACAAAACUGAUUUUCUUUCUACAAUUAGAGCAUGCGGCUUUUAAUCAGGUGCGCUCUGUAGUCCGGGAUUUACGGUAAUCUAUCCUUGCUACAAAUAGCAUGCCUAUAUAGCACUUAUUCUCAAAAUGUGUUUUGUACAUGUUUUAGCUAAACAAAUUAAACAAAGUUUUUUAUAUUAUAAUAACAAUAUCUGAGGGCUGAGGCCAGAUCAAGAUGACAGGUUGCUCUUUUUUAAGUGCUUUAUACAUGUAACAAAAAAAAAAGGAAAUGUGAGUACCGCACAAAAGUUUAACUGUUAAAUGUGAUGUAAUUUUAAUGGUUUCAAACAAACUGAAUAGCUAAAAACUGGGAAAAAUCUCCACAAAUAUCUUAUGCUAGCAUGACAUUGUGAC